GAGAAAUCAUUCUAAACUUGACGGAGACAUGGUGAUGGCUCAUGGCAGCUUCUUUGUCUUCCUGAUCUUCUUCUCUUCCUUUAUAUCUACAAAUAAUAUUCUUCAUGCAUACGCAUCCAUCCGAGAUCAACGCAACUCAUUUGGUCUAUCAUCUCCUCCCUCAAACCGGAUUUCUAUUCAUUGUGGCCCUCGUCGGAAGGGCAUUACCAAGUGUAAUCACAACGAUUUGGCAACCCUUACCAGCUACAACCCCGACACCCCCGUUGGAGGGAUCAUUGCAAACAAUCACUUCUAGCAGUUUCUCCAUAAUACCUCCAAAACAUCUCAGUAUUCUAAAAUAACUAUCUUUAGCAUAGUCUCUAUCUUGGCUCUUUAGCUAUUUUGGAGAGCGUGUUAAGAUUUUCAUCCAUAGAGGCCAUACCAGACUUUUACGUGGCUCUUCAUUUUAACUUUUAGCUAUUUCGCUCCGAAAUAUAGAAAGCGAGAUGAGGCUCUCUAUUAUUUUUGUUAAUUUAGAACAUUCCUUCUAAGUUGUUGUAUGUAAUUUACAAAUAAAUGUAAACUUUUUUUGUUAA
Molecule: long non-coding RNA, 575 nt
Organism: Rosa chinensis
Lineage: Eukaryota; Viridiplantae; Streptophyta; Magnoliopsida; Rosales; Rosaceae
Exons: 2
Source: RefSeq, a predicted model, not a curated record